Long non-coding RNA from Harpegnathos saltator (Jerdon's jumping ant), 609 nucleotides. RefSeq lists it as uncharacterized. The record is from RefSeq and is a predicted model, not a curated record. The transcript has 2 exons. NCBI's taxonomy places the organism in Eukaryota, Metazoa, Arthropoda, Insecta, Hymenoptera, Formicidae.
CUCUCGCUCUCUCUCUCACUUUCGAUUCCCAUCUCUUUUUCUCGUUGCACGUUACACGUUUUCAUACGCACUUUCUCCCUUUCUUUUUUCUCUCUUCUUUCACGUCGGACGUAUCUAAAAGAGGAUGAUUCGCCACGAGGACGAUCGUGCCGUGCUCAAUCAAGAAGGCAGGACGACGAAGGGGAGGAGCCGAUUGCCGCGACCGGCUUAACGCACGAAGAUUACCGCUGCGCUCUCGCAUCCCGUGAUAAAUAGCAAGAUUACGAGUCUGCGUGUCGGCCAAUGAACGAUGCCCUCAGCCCGUGGACCAUAUGUUCCUCCAAGGCUGUGGGACCCUCGCCAGGACUUGGACCGCGCGUUAACGCGCGGCGUUUCGAGCGGGGCCGCUUCAUCGCGACUACAUGUCGCGUCGUAUCGACCGCGCGACAUAAUAUCACUCAUAAAAAUGAGAAGCUACGAAAAUUGCGAAACGACGAUGACGUCAGUUAUUAAAAAUCGUUCGCUCAUCCGGUUGAGCCUGAAUCGGUUGAGUUUUUGAAGCCGAGACUGUAGAAAAAGAUUGCCUUUUCUUGCCGCCUUCUUUCAAUAAACUUUUAAUUUGGCUUGUCU